GAUGCUCCUGGAAGGUUUGCAGUUUGUGACCACAUUGAUGCAGUUGCACAUACUGCCUUUACUUGAUGAGCACAAAGAGAGGUUGAAACCUGAUGGAGGAGAAGAAAAUUACAAGAUCAGGCACAUUCCACAGGUAUCAUUCAUACCUAUGUCUGUUUUGAGAACUUUGAAUAAGUUAUCACCAUGCAGACCCCAGGAGGAGGAUACAGCAGGGUUGACAGCAGAUGAAGUAUGAAUAAUCCAAGUCAAGGAAAUUUGUACCAGAUUGUGGUUAUUAGAGAUAUUUUAUUUUAUAUGUCUUGUGGGUGUAUUGAAUCUAUUCUCAUUUCCAGUUCUUGUAAUUGGUUUUGUGAACGUAAAUUUACUACAUCCUAUAUUUUGAGAUUCUUGCUGGCUCAAAGGACAGAAAUAAUUUGAUUACCAAAUCUACUUUAUCAUGUGCCACAUUACCAGUUGUAUCAUAACCCAUGGACCAUGACCAAAGGGGCACUGGAACUUAAUCAAGCACAACAGUGUCAUGAAAAUUUGAACUUAAGAAAUCGAACUGAGAAUUCUAAGGUUAUAGGUGGUUAACAAGUGCAAGGUAUUUGUCUAAGAAAAUGUAUAUCAUGCCACAUGCCAACUACAUUUUUGAGUUCAAACAAUUCUUGAUACCAGAUUAAUCUAUUGCUAAAUGUUACAUGCAGAUAAUACAUUUUGAUUUUUGUAUCACUUCAAUUCUUAAAAAAUUGCAAAAUUUUUCUUCCAUCAAAUGGAGUUCGCGGUAGACAAGGUACAUACCAAUCAUAUCUAGCAUUUACCCUGUCAAUGAAGUGGUUUGUUAAAUCACUAGAUAAAAGGAGAAGACAUGACGAAGGCCAUCAAAGUUAACAAUGAAUUCCUAGAAACUAGAAGUUUUAAUGAUCUUUUACCUCGUAUGCAGCAUCCAGUCCAAGGUUUGGUAUGAAAGAGGAUUCGAAAGGCCAAUUCAUCAAUUCUAUAUUAAUUGCUACUGCCGGAGACCCAGCUUACCCCAGCUUCUUUUCUGAGUCCAUUAUCCACUAUAUCAUCCCUUAACUUCAUCACAUCAUCCCACCUCCCAUCUUCAGCAUA
RNAcentral lists this long non-coding RNA (1092 nucleotides) under Citrus maxima (pomelo). Its description in RNAcentral is "long non-coding RNA (CMAX_LNC002088)". Lineage: Eukaryota; Viridiplantae; Streptophyta; Magnoliopsida; Sapindales; Rutaceae. The record is from RNAcentral.